CGGCCGCAAGGUUGAAACUCAAAGGAAUUGACGGGGACCGCACAAGCGGUGGAUGAUGUGGUUUAAUUCGAUGCAACGCGAAAAACCUUACCCACCUUUGACAUGUACGGAAUUUGCCAGAGAUGGCUUAGUGCUCGAAAGAGAGCCGUAACACAGGUGCUGCAUGGCUGUCGUCAGCUCGUGUCGUGAGAUGUUGGGUUAAGUCCCGCAACGAGCGCAACCCUUGUCAUUAGUUGCUACAUUCAGUUGGGCACUCUAAUGAGACUGCCGGUGACAAACCGGAGGAAGGUGGGGAUGACGUCAAGUCCUCAUGGCCCUUAUAGGUGGGGCUACACACGUCAUACAAUGGCUGGUACAAAGGGUUGCCAACCCGCGAGGGGGAGCUAAUCCCAUAAAACCAGUCGUAGUCCGGAUCGCAGUCUGCAACUCGACUGCGUGAAGUCGGAAUCGCUAGUAAUCGUGGAUCAGAAUGUCACGGUGAAUACGUUCCCGGGUCUUGUACACACCGCCCGUCACACCAUGGGAGCGGGUUCUGCCAGAAGUAGUUAGCUUAACCGCAAGGAGGGCGAUUACCACGGCAGGGUUCGUGACUGGGGUGAAGUCGUAACAAGAUA
This 614-nucleotide ribosomal RNA is filed under the name uncultured marine bacterium. RNAcentral describes it as "bacterial SSU rRNA". It matches the Rfam family "Bacterial small subunit ribosomal RNA", at positions 883 to 1498 of the family's 1533-position model. The record is from RNAcentral.